This 269-nucleotide ribosomal RNA is filed under the name Campylobacter jejuni. RNAcentral's name for it is "partial 16S ribosomal RNA". It matches the Rfam family "Bacterial small subunit ribosomal RNA", at positions 1 to 266 of the family's 1533-position model. Lineage: Bacteria; Pseudomonadati; Campylobacterota; Epsilonproteobacteria; Campylobacterales; Campylobacteraceae. The record is from RNAcentral.
UUUUUAUGGAGAGUUUGAUCCUGGCUCAGAGUGAACGCUGGCGGCGUGCCUAAUACAUGCAAGUCGAACGAUGAAGCUUCUAGCUUGCUAGAAGUGGAUUAGUGGCGCACGGGUGAGUAAGGUAUAGUUAAUCUGCCCUACACAAGAGGACAACAGUUGGAAACGACUGCUAAUACUCUAUACUCCUGCUUAACACAAGUUGAGUAGGGAAAGUUUUUCGGUGUAGGAUGAGACUAUAUAGUAUCAGCUAGUUGGUAAGGUAAUGGCUU